Molecule: ribosomal RNA, 301 nt
Filed under: uncultured bacterium
Lineage: Bacteria
Description: partial 16S ribosomal RNA
Rfam family: Bacterial small subunit ribosomal RNA
Source: RNAcentral
CAGCCGCCGCGGGAAAACGUAGGGUGCGAGCGUUAAUCGGAAUUACUGGGCGUAAAGCGGGCGCAGACGGUUACUUAAGCAGGAUGUGAAAUCCCCGGGCUCAACCUGGGAACUGCGUUCUGAACUGGGUGACUAGAGUGUGUCAGAGGGAGGUAGAAUUCCACGUGUAGCAGUGAAAUGCGUAGAGAUGUGGAGGAAUACCGAUGGCGAAGGCAGCCUCCUGGGAUAACACUGACGUUCAUGCCCGAAAGCGUGGGUAGCAAACAGGAUUAGAUACCCCCGUAGUCCCUGUCUCUUAUCC